RNAcentral lists this long non-coding RNA (308 nucleotides) under Elaeis guineensis (African oil palm). RNAcentral's name for it is "long non-coding RNA (EGUI_LNC035503)". The record is from RNAcentral. Lineage: Eukaryota; Viridiplantae; Streptophyta; Magnoliopsida; Arecales; Arecaceae.
UGGUCCCCAGCAAUAAACCUAAUAUGGGACUCACUUCUUAAUAAUUCAAUUGUUUACAUAAACCUAGGUUCAAUCGACCAGCUUCCACUCUUUCCUCUUUAUUUUAAAGAGCUAGGCUGUUUGGAUAAGAGUUUCUGUUGACCUAAAACUUUCAGUUGAUAGUCAACAUGAUGAGAAUCCAGGUAAUUGAGCCGGCAUUACUCCAGCACAAGCCGGCUCUUGCUCUCCUAAGCAAGGAAUCGGCAUCUCAUAGGCUAAUGCACAUAACAUCUUUAACUGCUCUUAAUUGUGUAUAGUAUAAUUGUUGC